Molecule: ribosomal RNA, 443 nt
Filed under: uncultured bacterium
Lineage: Bacteria
Description: partial 16S ribosomal RNA
Rfam family: Bacterial small subunit ribosomal RNA
Source: RNAcentral
CCUACGGGCGGCAGCAGUGGGGAAUAUUGGGCAAUGGGCGCAAGCCUGACCCAGCAACGCCGCGUGAAGGAAGAAGGCUUUCGGGUUGUAAACUUCUUUUAUUGAGGACGAAACACAUGACGGUACUCAAUGACUAAGCCACGGCUAACUACGUGCCAGCAGCCGCGUGAAUACGUAGGUGGCAAGCGUUAUCCGGAUUUACUGGGGGUAAAGGGCGUGUAGGCGGGACUGCAAGUCAGAUGUGAAACCCAUGGGCUCAACCCAUGGCCUGCAUUUGAAACUGUAGUUCUUGAGUGAUGGAGAGGCAGGCGGAAUUCCGUGUGUAGCGGUGAAAUGCGUAGAUAUACGGAGGAACACCAGUGGCGAAGGCGGCCUGCUGGACAUUAACUGACGCUGAGGCGCGAAAGCGUGGGGAGCAAACAGGAUUAGAUACCCGAGUAGUC